RNAcentral lists this transfer RNA (88 nucleotides) under Pseudomonadota bacterium. RNAcentral's name for it is "tRNA-Leu". It matches the Rfam family "tRNA". Rfam says of the family: Transfer RNA (tRNA) molecules are approximately 80 nucleotides in length. Their secondary structure includes four short double-helical elements and three loops (D, anti-codon, and T loops). Further hydrogen bonds mediate the characteristic L-shaped molecular structure. tRNAs have two regions of fundamental functional importance: the anti-codon, which is responsible for specific mRNA codon recognition, and the 3' end, to which the tRNAs corresponding amino acid is attached (by aminoacyl-tRNA synthetases). tRNAs cope with the degeneracy of the genetic code in two manners: having more than one tRNA (with a specific anti-codon) for a particular amino acid; and 'wobble' base-pairing, i.e. permitting non-standard base-pairing at the 3rd anti-codon position. The record is from RNAcentral. Lineage: Bacteria; Pseudomonadati; Pseudomonadota.
GCGGACGUGGCGAAAUGGUAGACGCACCCGACUUAAAAUCGGUUUCCCCGAAACGGGAGUGCGGGUUCAAGUCCCGCCGUCCGCACCA